RNAcentral lists this non-coding RNA (19 nucleotides) under Arabidopsis thaliana (thale cress). Lineage: Eukaryota; Viridiplantae; Streptophyta; Magnoliopsida; Brassicales; Brassicaceae. The record is from RNAcentral.
UGUGGCUGUUAACCACAAG